CCUACGGGAGGCUGCAGUGGGGGAUAUUGGACAAUGGGGGGAACCCUGAUCCAGCGACGCCGCGUGAGUGAAGAAGUAUUUCGGUAUGUAAAGCUCUAUCAGCAGGGAAGAAAGAAAUGACGGUACCUGACUAAGAAGCCCCGGCUAACUACGUGCCAGCAGCCGCGGGAAUACGUAGGGGGCAAGCGUUAUCCGGAUUUACUGGGUGUAAAGGGAGCGUAGACGGCGAUGCAAGUCUGAAGUGAAAGGCGGGGGCCCAACCUCCGGACUGCUUUGGAAACUGGAUGGCUGGAGUGCAGGAGAGGUAAGGGGAAUGCCUAGUGUAGCGGUGAAAUGCGUAGAUAUUAGGAGGAACACCAGUGGCGAAGGCGGCUUACUGGACUGUAACUGACGUUGAGGCUCGAAAGCGUGGGGAGCAAACAGGAUUAGAUACCCGUGUAGUC
This 443-nucleotide ribosomal RNA is filed under the name uncultured bacterium. RNAcentral's name for it is "partial 16S ribosomal RNA". It matches the Rfam family "Bacterial small subunit ribosomal RNA", at positions 338 to 795 of the family's 1533-position model. The record is from RNAcentral.